GUGGGGAAUCUUGCGCAAUGGGCGAAAGCCUGACGCAGCAACGCCGCGUGGGGGAUGAAGGCUCUCGGGUUGUAAACCCCUUUCAGCAGGGACGAAUCAAGACGGUACCUGCAGAAGAAGCCCCGGCUAACUACGUGCCAGCAGCCGCGGUAACACGUAGGGGGCAAGCGUUGUCCGGAUUUAUUGGGCGUAAAGAGCUCGUAGGUGGCUGAGUAAGUCGGAUGUCAAAUCCCCAGGCUCAACCUGGGAUCCCAUCCGAUACUGCUCUGGCUAGAGUCCGGUAGGGGAGCGUGGAAUUCCUGGUGUAGCGGUGAAAUGCGCAGAGAUCAGGAGGAACACCAGCGGCGAAGGCGGCGCUCUGGGCCGGUACUGACACUGAGGAGCGAAAGCGUGGGUAGCAAACAGGAUUAGAAACCCGAGUAGUCC
This 426-nucleotide ribosomal RNA is filed under the name uncultured bacterium. RNAcentral describes it as "bacterial SSU rRNA". It matches the Rfam family "Bacterial small subunit ribosomal RNA", at positions 354 to 796 of the family's 1533-position model. The record is from RNAcentral.